CCUCUAUUAUUUAUUCUGUAAAGUAUGGGAACUGAACCUCAAAAGAAGGUUUUUGUCAGUUUGACAAUGCAUAGUAAAAUAAUUGCCUUUUAAAUUCAUUCCUUAGAAGAAGCAAAAAGAAGAAAAGAAGUUCCAGAAAAGAAAGCUAUUCAUGAAGUUAAAACAAAAGGUACUACCUUAUUUUAAAAUGUGGCAGUUAAUUUACCCACUCUUCAGAGACCUCUGCCUAUUAUAAUUCCUAAAGAAAUAGAAAUAAAAAUAAUUUAUGGUUCGUGUCUUAGAAGCAGAAGAAAGAAAAAAGGUAACUCACAAGAAGAAAAUUAUUCCUGAAAUUAAAGGGAAAGCUUUGGAACAGGAAAAGAAGGUAACCCAAGAGAAGAAAGCUAUUUCUGAAACAAAAAUUAAAGGGGGAAAAGAAGAAAGAAAGAAAGCUCUUGAGAAAACAGCUGUCCCUGAAGUUAAAAAGGCAGAACCAGAAAAAGCUCCUGCAGCCCAUCCAGCUUCUGUGAAGGUAGCUGUGCGAGAACCAUUCAAGAAAGAAAAGCCAGUCGAAAGAGCCAAGCAGCCAGUGAAGGAUGUGCCUGUAAAAGCAUCAGUUACACAAGAAACUCAUAAACCAAAAGAAACAGAACUAACCAAAAUAGAACCUGCUGCCCAUUUGACUAAAAAAGCAGUACAUGAAAAGAAAGAAGACAGAUUAUUAAAGGCAGUGGAGCAAGACAAACCAAAAUCCAAAGAAACAAAAGAUAUCAGAGGGAAAGAAGCAAAACAUGUGGCACCAAAAGUCAAAGAUGUUGCAAAAGAAAAAGUGAAGUCUCCUACUACUGUGAAAGAAAAAGAGGCAGUAAAACCAAAGGAAGUAAAGCCUACCAUUCCCCAGAAGCAGAAAGGACAAGAGGUUCUUAAGCACGACAAAGGAGCUCCUCAAGGAAAGCCAGAAGAAAUCACAGUAGCAGAUAAGAAAAAAGCAGAAAAGCCUUUGAAGGAAAAAGACAUCCCAGCAGUAAAAGAAUCCCAUCACCAUCGUAACAUGACAACAGACAAGCUUUCAAAGGCUUCAAAAGCAACAGCUGCUGUCCGCUACUAUCAGUGUGUCUUUGUAAAUGGAUACAAUGACUACAAACCGCAACACCCUGUUACCCCUGCCCAGGACUACAAAGGAAAGGCCGGGCAGACAAAAAAUUCUGGGCACAAGAUCAAGACACUGAAACAAUAG
RNAcentral lists this long non-coding RNA (1216 nucleotides) under Pogona vitticeps (central bearded dragon). RNAcentral's name for it is "lncRNA (ENSPVIG00000023027.1)". Lineage: Eukaryota; Metazoa; Chordata; Lepidosauria; Squamata; Agamidae. The record is from RNAcentral.